Non-coding RNA from Coturnix japonica (Japanese quail), 888 nucleotides. Lineage: Eukaryota; Metazoa; Chordata; Aves; Galliformes; Phasianidae. The record is from RefSeq and is a predicted model, not a curated record.
UAAUUGUUGACUGGAGGAACUAAUUACCCUGAGAUGGGGAUUUGGAGUGCUGUGGGUGGCUUUCCACUGCCUUGAACGAGAGCAGGAUUGAACACUUUGCAACAGAUUAAAAAGGCUAUGUACUCAUUUGAACUAAAAUUACCCGGCUGCCAGCCUGCUUGAUAGCAAUUACAUCUAAAGAGAGAAAACCACUGAACUUCAUGUAUUGGUGUCAGAGCAGGCUGAGGGAGGCAACAUGGGGCAUGGCUGCAACUGGGCUGUGAUAUCCCACUGCAGGGCAGGGAUCCUCUACCAGCAGGGGGCUGCAGAGCCAAAAAGCCUCAAAUCCACCUCUCUACCCCUCUGAGCACCCUGCAAUACAUGCAGUUUCUGUCAUUCCUGGCACUCAGCUCUUUUGUAGUUCAUUCUGCAAUUUUGAACUACAUUAAAAAAAGAGAUGCCUUCAAUUUGGUUCAGAUACAUAAUUCAUGCUGUGACCAUAGAUUUGUUUCUCUUACAGUGUGCCAUCACAUAACUAUCCCCAGAAAUAUUUGUUUUUUUAAUGCCAUUAGCAGAUUAGGGGUAUGUGUAGCUGUAUACAAACACAGAUAAUACAAAAGACAGAUCUAUGAUUGCACUGGAUGUUCACACAUCUCAUGGUUACUGGUGCUUUAAAAAAGCCAGUACAAAGCUUUCUGUAACUAUGGCUUGUUUUAAAAAAAAGAAAUAACCAUUUACUGAUAAAAUAAUAAAUAAUGCAUCUAAAUAAAUAAAAAGCAAAGUACUUUUAUUAGGUCGUUGAUAAUGUCAAUCUGAUGAAAGAAUCUGGAGUCAGGUGCCGAUGAAACAGUGUUUUUGAGUUCUCCUUUACCAGCGUGGCAUUUCAAAAUGCCCAGUGUCAAGCCUGGA